This is a long non-coding RNA of Symphalangus syndactylus (siamang), 572 nucleotides long. RefSeq lists it as uncharacterized. Lineage: Eukaryota; Metazoa; Chordata; Mammalia; Primates; Hylobatidae. The record is from RefSeq and is a predicted model, not a curated record.
ACCUGGGAACAACUGUUUAUAUAUUAGAAAUGCAAGAAAAACACUGCAAAAAAAAUGCAAAGUAUCAGGCUCCACCUGAAUCAGAACCUCUAGAUGUAGGGCCCCGCAAGCUGUUUUAACAAUCCCUCCAGGAGAUUCUGAUGCUCACUAAAGUUUGAGAAUCACUGAUAAUCAGCAAACCAUCUAAUAAGAUCUCCUUUUGGACAGGGCUGGAAGAAAGAAUGAUCUACAUUGACACUUCUCAACUUAUGAGUGUCUGUUCAAAACCAGGAAUCCUCAGCUCAGAAAAACAAGACUGUGUUGGGCUGGAGGAAAGGCAGUAAUCAACUCCAUGUUCCAUGUGAGGAAACUGAAGACCAUGGAAGGCAAGUCGAGAGCCCCAAGGUUAUCCAGCUUCAAGGUCACCAGUCACCCAGCUUCCUUCUUUCGUGCAGCCAGAUGCCCAUCCCAGUACUAGGUUGCGCUAUGGGGAUCGUGGAGUAGCUUAAGGCUUCCCUCUGCCUGCCCCACCCCCACUGUGUUUAUAUUGUUGAGAAACUUAAUCCACGGAAAUAAAGUGUGGAUUAUUUUUA